UACGUAGGGUGCAAGCGUUGCCCGGAUUUACUGGGCGUAAAGGGCGCGUAGGCGGCCACCGCAAGUCGGAUUGUGAAUCUCCGGGCUUAACCCGGAAAGGUCAACCGGAUACUGCGGGGCUAGAGUGCAGAAGGGGCAACUGGAAUUCUCGGUGUAGCGGUGAAAUGCGUAGAUAUCGAGAGGAACACCUGCGGCGAAGGCGGGUUGCUGGGCUGACACUGACGCUGAAGUGCGAAAGCUAGGGGGAGCGAACGGGG
Molecule: ribosomal RNA, 257 nt
Filed under: uncultured bacterium
Lineage: Bacteria
Description: partial 16S ribosomal RNA
Rfam family: Bacterial small subunit ribosomal RNA
Source: RNAcentral